RNAcentral lists this ribosomal RNA (420 nucleotides) under uncultured soil bacterium. RNAcentral describes it as "bacterial SSU rRNA". It matches the Rfam family "Bacterial small subunit ribosomal RNA", at positions 26 to 431 of the family's 1533-position model. The record is from RNAcentral.
AGAUUGAACGCUGGCGGCAUGCCUAACACAUGCAAGUCGAACGGCAGCGCGGGGGCAACCCUGGCGGCGAGUGGCGGACGGGUGAGGAAUACAUAGGAAUCUACCCUGUCGUGGGGGAUAACGUAGGGAAACUUACGCUAAUACCGCAUACGACCGAGAGGUGAAAGCGGCGGACCGCAAGGGCGUCGCGCGGCUGGAUGAGCCUAUGUCCGAUUAGCUAGGUUGGCGGGGUAAGAGCCCACCAAGGCGACGAUCGGUAGCUGGUCUGAGAGGAUGAUCAGCCACACUGGGACUGAGACACGGCCCAGACCUCCGUACGGGAGCAGCAGGUGGGAAUAUUGGACAAGUGGGGCGCGAAGCCUAGGACUCCAAGCCAAUGCCGGCGUGGUGUAGAAGGAAGGCCGUUUCGGGUUAGUAACG